GGGUUGUGAGGUUAAGCGACUAAGCGUACACGGUGGAUGCCCUGGCAGUCAGAGGCGAUGAAGGACGUGCUAAUCUGCGAUAAGCGUCGGUAAGGUGAUAUGAACCGUUAUAACCGGCGAUUUCCGAAUGGGGAAACCCAGUGUGUUUCGACACACUAUCAUUAACUGAAUCCAUAGGUUAAUGAGGCGAACCGGGGGAACUGAAACAUCUAAGUACCCCGAGGAAAAGAAAUCAACCGAGAUUCCCCCAGUAGCGGCGAGCGAACGGGGAGCAGCCCAGAGCCUGAAUCAGUGUGUGUGUUAGUGGAAGCGUCUGGAAAGGCGCGCGAUACAGGGUGACAGCCCCGUACACAAAAAUGCACAUGCUGUGAGCUCGAUGAGUAGGGCGGGACACGUGGUAUCCUGUCUGAAUAUGGGGGGACCAUCCUCCAAGGCUAAAUACUCCUGACUGACCGAUAGUGAACCAGUACCGUGAGGGAAAGGCGAAAAGAACCCCGGCGAGGGGAGUGAAAAAGAACCUGAAACCGUGUACGUACAAGCAGUGGGAGCACGCUUAGGCGUGUGACUGCGUACCUUUUGUAUAAUGGGUCAGCGACUUAUAUUCUGUAGCAAGGUUAACCGAAUAGGGGAGCCGAAGGGAAACCGAGUCUUAACUGGGCGUUAAGUUGCAGGGUAUAGACCCGAAACCCGGUGAUCUAGCCAUGGGCAGGUUGAAGGUUGGGUAACACUAACUGGAGGACCGAACCGACUAAUGUUGAAAAAUUAGCGGAUGACUUGUGGCUGGGGGUGAAAGGCCAAUCAAACCGGGAGAUAGCUGGUUCUCCCCGAAAGCUAUUUAGGUAGCGCCUCGUGAAUUCAUCUCCGGGGGUAGAGCACUGUUUCGGCAAGGGGGUCAUCCCGACUUACCAACCCGAUGCAAACUGCGAAUACCGGAGAAUGUUAUCACGGGAGACACACGGCGGGUGCUAACGUCCGUCGUGAAGAGGGAAACAACCCAGACCGCCAGCUAAGGUCCCAAAGUCAUGGUUAAGUGGGAAACGAUGUGGGAAGGCCCAGACAGCCAGGAUGUUGGCUUAGAAGCAGCCAUCAUUUAAAGAAAGCGUAAUAGCUCACUGGUCGAGUCGGCCUGCGCGGAAGAUGUAACGGGGCUAAACCAUGCACCGAAGCUGCGGCAGCGACGCUUAUGCGUUGUUGGGUAGGGGAGCGUUCUGUAAGCCUGUGAAGGUGUGCUGUGAGGCAUGCUGGAGGUAUCAGAAGUGCGAAUGCUGACAUAAGUAACGAUAAAGCGGGUGAAAAGCCCGCUCGCCGGAAGACCAAGGGUUCCUGUCCAACGUUAAUCGGGGCAGGGUGAGUCGACCCCUAAGGCGAGGCCGAAAGGCGUAGUCGAUGGGAAACAGGUUAAUAUUCCUGUACUUGGUGUUACUGCGAAGGGGGGACGGAGAAGGCUAUGUUGGCCGGGCGACGGUUGUCCCGGUUUAAGCGUGUAGGCUGGUUUUCCAGGCAAAUCCGGAAAAUCAAGGCUGAGGCGUGAUGACGAGGCACUACGGUGCUGAAGCAACAAAUGCCCUGCUUCCAGGAAAAGCCUCUAAGCAUCAGGUAACAUCAAAUCGUACCCCAAACCGACACAGGUGGUCAGGUAGAGAAUACCAAGGCGCUUGAGAGAACUCGGGUGAAGGAACUAGGCAAAAUGGUGCCGUAACUUCGGGAGAAGGCACGCUGAUAUGUAGGUGAAGUCCCUCGCGGAUGGAGCUGAAAUCAGUCGAAGAUACCAGCUGGCUGCAACUGUUUAUUAAAAACACAGCACUGUGCAAACACGAAAGUGGACGUAUACGGUGUGACGCCUGCCCGGUGCCGGAAGGUUAAUUGAUGGGGUUAGCCGCAAGGCGAAGCUCUUGAUCGAAGCCCCGGUAAACGGCGGCCGUAACUAUAACGGUCCUAAGGUAGCGAAAUUCCUUGUCGGGUAAGUUCCGACCUGCACGAAUGGCGUAAUGAUGGCCAGGCUGUCUCCACCCGAGACUCAGUGAAAUUGAACUCGCUGUGAAGAUGCAGUGUACCCGCGGCAAGACGGAAAGACCCCGUGAACCUUUACUAUAGCUUGACACUGAACAUUGAGCCUUGAUGUGUAGGAUAGGUGGGAGGCUUUGAAGUGUGGACGCCAGUCUGCAUGGAGCCGACCUUGAAAUACCACCCUUUAAUGUUUGAUGUUCUAACGUUGACCCGUAAUCCGGGUUGCGGACAGUGUCUGGUGGGUAGUUUGACUGGGGCGGUCUCCUCCUAAAGAGUAACGGAGGAGCACGAAGGUUGGCUAAUCCUGGUCGGACAUCAGGAGGUUAGUGCAAUGGCAUAAGCCAGCUUGACUGCGAGCGUGACGGCGCGAGCAGGUGCGAAAGCAGGUCAUAGUGAUCCGGUGGUUCUGAAUGGAAGGGCCAUCGCUCAACGGAUAAAAGGUACUCCGGGGAUAACAGGCUGAUACCGCCCAAGAGUUCAUAUCGACGGCGGUGUUUGGCACCUCGAUGUCGGCUCAUCACAUCCUGGGGCUGAAGUAGGUCCCAAGGGUAUGGCUGUUCGCCAUUUAAAGUGGUACGCGAGCUGGGUUUAGAACGUCGUGAGACAGUUCGGUCCCUAUCUGCCGUGGGCGCUGGAGAACUGAGGGGGGCUGCUCCUAGUACGAGAGGACCGGAGUGGACGCAUCACUGGUGUUCGGGUUGUCAUGCCAAUGGCACUGCCCGGUAGCUAAAUGCGGAAGAGAUAAGUGCUGAAAGCAUCUAAGCACGAAACUUGCCCCGAGAUGAGUUCUCCCUGACUCCUUGAGAGUCCUGAAGGAACGUUGAAGACGACGACGUUGAUAGGCCGGGUGUGUAAGCGCAGCGAUGCGUUGAGCUAACCGGUACUAAUGAACCGUGAGGCUUAACCUUACAACGCCGAAGCUGUU
This 2932-nucleotide ribosomal RNA is filed under the name Escherichia coli. Its description in RNAcentral is "bacterial LSU rRNA". It matches the Rfam family "Bacterial large subunit ribosomal RNA". The record is from RNAcentral. Lineage: Bacteria; Pseudomonadati; Pseudomonadota; Gammaproteobacteria; Enterobacterales; Enterobacteriaceae.